UGGAGGCAUAGGAAAUCCUGUAUGUUUCUGUCUAUCCUCCCAGCAUGGAUUCCCCAACUCAUUGUUAUCUUCCAUUUUUGACCUUGCUGACAACAGGGUGCCUCAGCAUAUUUGUGCUUGUCCUGAUCAAAAAUUCUGUAUUUGCACAAGGACAAAAAAUCUAGCUGUCUUGGUUUCUUCCCCCAGAGUGAUUCUUGACCCAUGGUAAAGUGGCAGUAUUGGCUAAAGGAUUACCAAUGGCUGAACUUUGUGUGACUUUUUCCACAUAGGUCUUUCAAACCCAAAAGCUUCUGAAACUGCACUUUAAUUCUGCUUCUGCUGCCCCAGUAGCCCCUCCACCACCUGGUGACAAGGCACUUCUUCAACAGGAAGCCUGGGCCUAGGGUGAGAGGAAUGAGGUACUUAACAGGGACAAAAAUUUUAAGCAAAAGCCAAGCAGCUUUCUUCAUAUAGGAAAACAUUCUAAAAUUUAUAUGGAAAAGAAACUAAGGUUGUUAAAAUGAAAGUGAAACAAUCACAGACCUGAUUUUAAAGUUUUAUUUAUAGCUCUAGUAAUUAAAACUGGAAGAGGCGUGAGACCAGGUAAAUGAAAUAGAAAGUCCAAAAUAGGUAUACAAAAGUAUGUUUAUUUAAUUGAUUUUGUUUUUAAACAAAACCAAUGAAGGAAGGAUAGUCUUUUCAAUAAAUGAUGCAAACUUUGAUUUUGGAAACAAUAAAACUCUCAACCUACACUUCAUACAUAGAAAAAGUAACUCAAAAUGGAUCACAUAUCUGAAUGUAAAUCACGAAACUUUAAAUCAGAACUUUAAAUUAGAAUAUCUUCUAAUCACAUUCAAUAGUAAUAAGAACUUUCGUCAAUUCAAAAUGAAACAAUCCCAUUACAAAAGAUCUCUUCUCAAAAGAGAUAAACAUGGAAAGAUAAGCUUAUCCAGAAAACGAAAAUUAAAACCCCAAUGAAAUAUAUACAUGAUAGGUGUAUAUCACUAUACACCUAUCAAAAGGGCUAAAAUUAAAAAUACAGAACCAAGUAUUAGAAUGUGGGGUAACUGGAUCUCAUUUUUGAAGGAAAUAAAAAGUAAUACAGUCACUUCAGAAAAGUUGGGCAGUUUCACAUGAAGUUGAGCAUAUUUACCAUGAACCAGUCAUUGGCCAUUGUACUCCUGAGUAGUUAUCACACAAGUUAAAAUAUAUGCACAUACAGUAUCCUGUGCACAAAUGUUUAUGGCAGCUUUAUUUGUGAUAGCCAAGAAGUGGGAACAACUUCAAUAUCCUUCAGUUAGCAGUUAAACUGGUAUACCAUAAGUUAAAUACUAUUUAGCCAUAAAAAGGAACAAACUUGUUACAAAACAAUAAAAGCAUGGGGGAUGUGGCUCAGUGGUUGAAGCCCUUGGGUUCAAUCCUCCGUACCCAAAACCAAAAAGGGUGCGUGCGGGGAGACAGGGUCAGGCAAGGGAGUUUAUAUGGAGUUUACAGAAAUCAAUGCUUGUGAUGAAAUUUCAUAGUACUACACACCAAAAUAAAUAAAAGUAUUUAAAAAUUGAUGAACUGUAAGUAAAGUCUACUUAGUAGUGUUGUAUUGAUAUCAAUUUUCUGAUUGUGAAUAUUUUCUGGUUAUGAAAGAUGUUAUCAUUUGGGAAAGCUGAGUGGCACAAUUUUUGCAACGUUUAUUGUGUGUGUGUUAUAUAAUUUGUUCCUAUACAUAUAAGUUGUGAACAGGUAGUUAAUCUGUAUUAGUUCUGUUUGCCCAGCAAAGUUCAAAUAAAUAAGAAAUUGUUAGAGCAGAAAGAACUCGGAGAUCACUUAGUCCUAAGGUUCUCAGAUCCAGGGAACAUAGAAUUCCGUAAGCCAUUUGUGUUAGAUUACAAAUAUCAAUUUUCUGGGAAAACAAUCUAUCUUGAAGGUGCUCUAAGGAGAAUCUGUCUUCUGACAAACUCAGGUAAUUCUUAGGUAGCAAUCCCCUGAUUUUCCCCACUUGUAGGAACCAUUGAUCUUAUCCAGCCACCUCAUCUUACAAAUUAGAAGCCCAAAGAAGGUAGCUCUUAAGAUUUUAAAAUUAAUCACCCAAAUAAUCAGGAUAGCUGAGAUCAGAACAAUAGUUUGUUCUCUAAUUGAAAUUGUUCCAGUCAGAAUGUCAUCCUAUUGCAAAACAAUAAACACUGCCUUAACAGUAGCUACUUAAUAGUAGUCAACUCAGGCAUAUAAGCUUCUGUUUUGUGUCUUGUGAAGGGAAGAAUGGUGUUAUAAUGUGAUUAGUAAUUUUUUAUAGGUGUGUUUAUAUGGAAGUAUUGAAAUGCUUCAGUUAGUGAUGUUCUGGAAAAAAAUUGAAAUGCCAUUACACAAUGUUUCAGAUAUGUGUGGCUUUUUUCUUUUAUUUUUUGACACAGCUGAGAGACAUUUCUAAUUUGACAUAUAUACGAGUAUGAAUGUGUAUAUUAAAUUCCUGUAUUUCAUUCUUGAAAAAAUGUUUAGUUGCAGGAUUUGAUCACACUGGUCAUGUUGUAUAUAAUAUUUCUGAAUAUGUUUGAAGGUUGCCGAAGUAGGUAACGUUUCUUUAUUGGCUUUGUACAAAGUCAAGAAAAGAAACCAAGAUCAUAAAUUACCAUAUUACCAUAAUAUUUUAACUAACAACUAUGUAUAUAAUCUGUAUUUAAACCUAUAAAAUUUGUUUGAAUACAUCCUUCAACUAUUAAUUUACAUAAUUCUGAAAAUGUAGUUGGGAAGAUUAUCUUCCAGGUUUUGCUAAACGUUUCUGGUUUCUAGCACAAUCCCUUUUCUUACUUGGUAAAGUGAUGCUUUGUGAGUUUAUGAGCAAGAAAAGUGGAUUUUUAAGCUUAUUAAUUGCCAUGGUAAUGUCACCACAGGAACUCUAGAACAAAGCAUGUAAACUUUUGACAGUUAAAUGUUUGUAAUCAUAAACUGGUUGUCUGAUAGGAGAAAAUAAUUUUUUUAGAGUGGAUACAUUUGGAGGAAACAACAGAUAACCAGUAUUUCCAAACAUGCACACAUAGUCACCACCUCAUUCAGAAAGUCUCUUAAGCCUUUAAUAUGUAAUGUGUAUCUUUAAAAACACAUAUCCCUCAUUCAGCCAGGCAUGAGCACCAUCUCAAAUCCCUUCCUCCAAUGCAUUCUGCUUCCCAGACAAGGCGAUGCCAAAGAGAACCAAACCCUUGGGAUCAUCUAGUGGAGUACCAGCACUGUGGACAGGUGCUUUACUACUUAAUCUAUUUGUGGCAAUAAGAUAUGGACAUGAUUCUGUUUUCUAAUCUAUUCCCAGUGAAGGAGGAAUUGCCGUUAUUUAAAGCUACCUUUCCAAAACUCACUGUGGUUAAUUAUAAACAUCAUGGGGGGAUAUAUGAUAUUUGGCUGAGUUAAAAGUGUAGGAUAGAGGCAGCAUGCCCAAAUUUUCAAAACUCAUAUGCUAAUUAAUAUAUUAUGGUGCUGCUUUACCUCUUUUAGCAGCCAGCUAAUGUUUAAGUCUGUAAAAUAGUGAACAGGGUAAGCCAUGUUUUAAAGCUUUAUUUCAGUCACAACUGAGGAUAGUUAGAACUGUCACUUGUUGAAACACGUUUUGUCCAUUAACACUUGCUUUGGAAACAGACAUGAAACAGAUUGUUUCAUCAUCUUUUUU
Molecule: long non-coding RNA, 3628 nt
Filed under: Marmota monax (woodchuck)
Lineage: Eukaryota; Metazoa; Chordata; Mammalia; Rodentia; Sciuridae
Source: RNAcentral